UUGAGCACAAGAUUUAAGCCAGCAUGUUGAAAAUAAAGGCUUCAAAAGAUAGUCUAGAUUGAGCAAGGUAGAGAACCUUGACCUGAGCUUCCUCUCCUUCAAGGAAAGCAUCCUACCAUAUUGGGGUACCCUUUCAUUCCUCAAGAGUAUGUCUCUAGCGGACAAUUCGUUCAGAGUUCCAGACAAGUUUUGAAAUGUUGUCAUGAUUGGGCAACUUAAUUAGAGCAUCUAGGCCUAAGUGGGAAUGGCUUCAAUAGAAGCAUUAUACCGUAUUUGGGUGCAAUCUCAUCCCUUGGGAGCUUUGAUUUGCGCUGGAUUAAUUUGGAAGGAUCCUUGUCCUCUAAAUGUAAGUUGAUUAAUUGUAAAGAAAUUAAAUCAAAAUUGAUAACAUCAAUCAUAUGUCUAAACUCCCCGUUUAAUUCUUUUAUUAUUUAUUUUUUAAUUUUUU
Long non-coding RNA from Magnolia sinica, 448 nucleotides. RefSeq lists it as uncharacterized. NCBI's taxonomy places the organism in Eukaryota, Viridiplantae, Streptophyta, Magnoliopsida, Magnoliales, Magnoliaceae. The record is from RefSeq and is a predicted model, not a curated record. The transcript has 2 exons.